UAUACACUAUUUAUCAGUUUAUACAGUUAUUAGUAUAAAUGUACAUUGAUUUAUAUACUACACACACACUCACACUCACACACUCAUGCACAAUCAUACUCCCACCUACACUCUCUCACACACACACUCACACUCACACUCACACUCACACUCACACUCACACUCAUACACACACACACACUCAUACUCACACUAACACUCACACUCACACUCACACUCAUACUAACACUCACUCACACACUCACACUUACACAGACUGACACACUCACACAUUCACACACUCACACGCACACUCACACUCACAACGACAUUCACACUUGCAAGCACACUCACACACUCUCACAUACACUCACACACUCACACUCACACUCACACUCACACUCACACACACACUCACACUCACACUCACACUCCCACUCCCAGUCACACUCACACUCACACUCACACUCACCCUCACACAGACACACUCACAACUCACACUCACACUCAUACAAACACUAGCAUUGACACUGACACUCACAGCUAUGUAUACUAUACAUGCGUGGUGUGUAUGGACUGAUGUGUGUAUAUUUACGAUAUGUAUAUGCAUAUCUUUUUGCGUAUAUGUAUACAGUUGCUUGCUAUCAGUUAUAUGCAAUUAUCGAUGUAUAUAUACACUGAUAUGCGCACACACAUGUACCCUUACGCGUGGAUAAGUGCAUAUAUAAUGUGUAUGUAUAUACUAAUACAUGCAUUCUAUAUACACUGACAUAUUUUACCAUAUUGACACUUAUCAGUAGUUUAUAUGUAUAUAUGAUGUGCAUAUAAAUGAUAUGUAUUUACUGAUAUGUUUAUGUGUGUAUGUAUAAACUUGCUAUCAGUUAUAUAUGCACUGAUAUGUGACACACAUGUGCACGCUCACCUAUUGAUAGUGCAUAUAUUUAUUUCUGUGUACACUGAUAUAUAUGACCAUAUAUAACACUUAUUAGUGUAUAUAUACAAUGAAAUGUAUAUACGCACAUUCAUAUACAUAUGUACAAAGGGUUUAUAUGUACACUUAUGUAAAAGACCAUGUAUAUACUUAUUAUCAGUGAUAUAUAUAGUUAUUCGCUCAAUUCGUAUACAAAUUGAUGUAUAGCAAUAUAGACCAUUGUUUUCAGUAUAUAUAUACAUACUGAUUCAUAUAACCAUACAAUACAUUAGUUAUCUGUUAUAUGUAUAGUUAUUAGUGUGUAAAAAAUACAUUGAUAUGUGUGUAUGUAUGCGUGUGAUGUCUGUAUAUAUAUGCUGUGUAUAUACUGAUAUGUGUGUAUGUUUAAAGUGCGUAACUGUAUAUAUACAGUACAUUAAUAUAUACAUUAGUAUAUAUGACGAUAUAUACAGUAUUUAUCAGUUUAUACAGUUAUUAACAUAUAUGUAUACUACACACACACUCGCACUCACACUCACCCACACACACACACUGGCGCUUACACUCACACUCACACUCACUCACACUCACAAAUAUAUAUACUACACAUAUAUGCGUGGUGUGUAUCGACUGAUGUGUGUAUGUAUAAUACGAUAUGUAUAUACUGAUAUUGUUAUGUAUAUGUAUACAAUUAUCAAUAUAUGUAUGCACUGAUAUGCGCAUGCACAUGCACCUUUACGCGUUGAUAAGUGUAUAUAUACUGUAUACACUAAUACAUGCAUUCUUUAUACACUUAUAUAUAUGACCAUAAGGACAUAUAUUAGCAGUUUAUAUAUAUACAGUGUGUAUAUAUACGAUAUGUAUAUAUUGAUAUGUUUAUGCGUGCAUGUAUAAACUUGUUGUCUGUUAUAUAUAACCAUGGUAUGCGCAUGCACAUGCACCCUUACGUAUUAAUAUUGCAUAUAUAUAUUUUUAUAUACACCGAUGUUUAUGAUCAUACAUACACUUUUUAUCAGUUUAUACAGUUAUUAGCGUAGAUGUACAUUGAUAUGUAUAUGAAUGCACAGGUGACAGUUGCAGCCAACAAGGUAAAGGGACAGAUCCCUUGCCCCCUCCUUUUUGAUUAGUUUUCCUCUCAAUUCGUACCAUUCGAAUCAUUAUCUUCUCUGUAAAUGAUUUUUCCUACCAUAUACAAUUUUCAAAUUGUGAUAAAAUCAGGUAUUAAAGAAGGAGAUUAUUUCUUCUGGCUAUCACGUCUAAUCAGAUAAGCUUAAGCGAAAUUCCAUAUUACUUUGUAUAGAAUUAGGCAUAAGAAUGGGUUUCUUCUCUUGAUGGAUUGGGUAUGCUAAAAUACCCAAUUGUGAUAGUCCAUCUAAAUUUUUUAUCAUAUAUUUGUACUUGUUUUUAUUAUUGUUGAUGAGCUUCAUCUUCAUUGAGUUUGCUUGUAAUUCAACAAGCAUGAAUGCAACUUAUCAUCGAAGCGGAUCUCUUUAUGUACACUGAUUUAUAUACUACACACACACACUCUCUUUCUCACUCACUCACACACAUACACACACACUCUCACUCACUCACAGACACACUCGCACUCGCACUCACACUCACAGAUAUAUAUACUACACAUAUAUGCGUGUUGUGUAUGGAUUGAUGUGUGCAUAUAUACGAUAUGUAUAUACUGAUAUGUUUAUACAUAUAUGUAUACUAUUGCUUGCAGUUUUUGUAUAACUUGAUAUAUGUACACUGAUAUUUAUAUAUGCACACUCAUAUGUACAUGUAUAAAGGGUUUAUAUAUAUACUAAUGUAUAAGACCAUGUAUUAUUCUCAGUGAUAUACACAAUGAUUAGAGCAAUUUGUGUACGUUGAUGUAUAGCAAUAUAUAUCAUUGUUUUCAGUGUAUAUACAACUAUUAGUGUGUAAAGAAUACAUUGAUAUGUGUGUGUGCGCGUGAUGUUUGUAUAUAUUCAAUGUGUGUAUACUGAUAUGUGUGUAUGUGUAAAGUGCAUAACUGUAUCUAUACAAUGCGCUAAUAUAUAUAUUUCUAUAUAUAUUGAUGUAUCAGUUCAUACAGUUAUUAACGUAUAUCUACAUUAAUUUAUAUGCUACACACACUCACUCACACUUAUGCUCACACUCACCACUCACACUCAUACACACACAGACACAUACACACUCACUCACACUCACACUCACACACACUCACACUCACACACACUCACACUCACACUCAUACACACUCAAACUCACAGAUAUAUAUACUACAGACAUACACACACUCACACUCACACACACUCACACUCAGUCACAGAUAUAUAUACUAUACAUGUUUAUGUGUUGUGUAUGGACUGAUAUGUGAAUAUAUACGAUGUGUUUAUACUGAUAUGUUUAUGCGAGUAUAUAUACAGUUGCUUGCCAUCAAUUAUAUACAAUUACCAAUGGAUAUAUAUACAUAUAUGCACACACACAUGCACCGUUAUGCGUUAAUAAGUGCAUAUAUAUUGUGUAUGUGUAUGCUGUUACAUGCAUUCUAUAUACAUUAAUAUAUAUGAUCAUAGAGACACUUAUAUAUAUAUAUAUAUAUAUAUAUACAGUGUGUCUAUAUAAGAUAUGUAUAUACUGAUAUGUUUAUGUAUGUAUACACUUGCUAUUUAUAAACACUGAUAUGCGCACACACAUGCACACUUGAUAAUGCGUACAUACAUUUCUAUAUAUACUGAUAUAUAUAACUAUAUAAACACUUAUUAUCAUUUCAUACAGUUAUUAGCGAAUGUUAUCAGUUUAUACAGUUUAUGCCUUUAUUGACUUAUACGUACACUGAUUUUUAUACUACACACACACACACUCACACUCAUACUCACACUCACACUCACUGACAAUCACACUGAUACUCACAAAUAUAUAUACUAUCACCUCUAAUCUGAUAUGCCUCGCGAAAUUCCAUAUUACUUUGUAUAGAAUUAGGCAUAAGAAUGGGUUUCUUCUCUUGAUGAAUCGGGUAUGCUAAAUACCCAAUUAUGAUAGUCCAUGUAAAUUUUUUUUCAUCAAGUUUUCUCAUAAAUCAACAACCAUGAAAGCAAGUUAUCAUAGAGGUGGAUCUCUUUACGUUAUUCAAUAUACGUGAUCUUGAUUCUGCAAUCUUGAUUUGCUUAAUGGUUCUUUUUUCUCUAGUAUACUACCGCUCUUUCUUCUUUCAUGCAAAUAUGGAGUAAAAUUUCAGGAGCUUUUCUUGUGGUUUGCAAUUUUGUUAACUUUUUCUUAACACACACAAACUCUUGCUUCCUUGAUGCAAAUAUGAAGUGAAUUUUCUGGAGCUUUACUUGUGGUUUGCAAUUUUAUUAAGUUACUUGUUCUUAACACACACAUACUCUUGCUUCUUUCAUGCAACUAUGGAGUGAAUUUUUUGGAGCAUUACUAUUGGUUUCCAAUUUUAUUAAGUAACUUUUUCUUAACACAGGCACACACACACACCACACACACUCACAAACACACUCACAUACGCACACACACUCACACACACACAUAAGCACACACACUCACACACACACUCUCGCACACACACACUCGUACUCUCACUCAUACACUCGCACUCACACUCACACUCACACCCACACCCACAUACACACUCACACACCCACACUCACACACACUCACACACUCACACUCACAUUCACAUUCACACUCGCACUCACAGACACCCACACUCACACACCAUACACACACUCAUGCUCACACUCAUACUCAUACACACACACACACUCACACUCACUGUCACUCUCACUCUCACUUUCACUCACUCACACACACUCACAAUCACACUCGUUCACACACAAGCUCACACACUCACACUCAUACUCAUACUCGCACUCAUACUCAACUCACAAUGACACUCACACACUCACACUCACACUCACACUCACACACACACACACCACACACUCAUACUCACACGCACACACACUCAUACUCACACUCACACUCACACUCAUAUAGACUCACACUCCCACAUUCACACACACACUCAC
Molecule: long non-coding RNA, 4908 nt
Filed under: Amborella trichopoda
Lineage: Eukaryota; Viridiplantae; Streptophyta; Magnoliopsida; Amborellales; Amborellaceae
Description: long non-coding RNA (ATRI_LNC001227)
Source: RNAcentral